RNAcentral lists this ribosomal RNA (164 nucleotides) under uncultured bacterium. Its description in RNAcentral is "partial 16S rRNA". It matches the Rfam family "Bacterial small subunit ribosomal RNA", at positions 355 to 511 of the family's 1533-position model. The record is from RNAcentral.
UAGGGAAUCUUCCACAGUGGACGAAAGUCUGAUGGAGCAACGCCGCGUGAGUGAAGAAGGGUUUCGGCUCGUAAAACUCUGUUGUUAAAGAAGAACAUAUCUGAGAGUAACUGUUCAGGUAUUGACGGUAUUUAACCAGAAAGCCACGGCUAACUACGUGCCAC